GGGGAUGAUCGGUUUCGACGGUGGGUAGUGAUCCAGGGGAAGCGGGUCGAGGAUGAGGUUCAUCUCGUAAACGCUAUCUCGAAAAAAUAAGUGCAAAGAAUACACGCACUGAUUUCGCACUUGCAGCUUAAUUUAUAGCAAGGUUUUAGAAGCGAAUCCGUCAUACUAUGACUGCUUCCAUCAUAGAUACAUGGCGUCGACUUAGGGAGCCACUGGGGUUGUAACUUGUUUUCGGUUACCGCUCGACUUUUAGAAAACUGAGCUUGAAGCAUCUAGCCUAGGUGAAUGUGAAAGCUGAGAAAUUAUAAGCUAGGAUGCACCCGGAGAAGUCCUGGGGGUUGCUUAUCGGACCGGGGUUCAAUUCCCCGCAUCUCCACAA
Molecule: transfer-messenger RNA, 379 nt
Filed under: Actinomycetaceae
Lineage: Bacteria; Bacillati; Actinomycetota; Actinomycetes; Actinomycetales
Also listed under: 1 other name
Description: ZJ293 sp011751725 Standard tmRNA
Rfam family: transfer-messenger RNA
About the family: Bacterial tmRNA, also known as 10Sa RNA or SsrA, is named for its dual tRNA and mRNA-like properties. Its role is to liberate the mRNA from a stalled ribosome. To accomplish this part of the tmRNA is used as a reading frame that ends in a translation stop signal.
Source: RNAcentral